UACCCUCCGGGUGGACAGGGAGGACAGGUGGUGGCAUGGUUGUCGUCAGCUCGUGUCGUGAGAUGUUGGGUUAAGUCCCGCAACGAGCGCAACCCCUACGUUUAGUUGCUAACGCGUGAAGGCGAGCACUCUAGACGAACUGCCGUUGACAAAACGGAGGAAGGUGGGGAUGACGUCAAAUCAUCAUGCCCCUUAUGUUCUGGGCUACACACGUGCUACAAUGGCCGGUACAGACGGACGCAAAGCCGCGAGGUGGAGCAAAUCCUAAAAAGCCGGUCUCAGUUCGGAUUGCAGGCUGCAAUUCGCCUGCAUGAAGUCGGAAUCGCUAGUAAUCGCAGGUCAGCAUACUGCGGUGAAUACCGUUCCCGGGCCUU
Molecule: ribosomal RNA, 374 nt
Filed under: uncultured Pelotomaculum sp.
Lineage: Bacteria; Bacillati; Bacillota; Clostridia; Eubacteriales; Desulfotomaculaceae
Description: bacterial SSU rRNA
Rfam family: Bacterial small subunit ribosomal RNA
Source: RNAcentral